RNAcentral lists this non-coding RNA (21 nucleotides) under Arabidopsis thaliana (thale cress). Lineage: Eukaryota; Viridiplantae; Streptophyta; Magnoliopsida; Brassicales; Brassicaceae. The record is from RNAcentral.
UGCUUUGAAUUCGCUUCUUCA